AGAGUUUGAUCCUGGCUCAGGAUGAACGCUAGCUACAGGCUCAACACAUGCAAGUCGAGGGGAAACGACAUCGAAAGCUUGCUUUUGAUGGGCGUCGACCGGCGCACGGGUGAGUAACGCGUAUCCAACCUGCCCACCACUUGGGGAUAACCUUGCGAAAGUAAGACUAAUACCCAAUGACGUCUCUAGAAGACAUCUGAAGGAGAUUAAAGAUUUAUCGGUGAUGGAUGGGGAUGCGUCUGAUUAGCUUGUUGGCGGGGUAACGGCCACGAAGGCGACGAUCAGUAGGGGUUCUGAGAGGAAGGUCCCCCACAUUGGAACUGAGACACGGUCCAAACUCCUAGGCAGGCA
Molecule: ribosomal RNA, 351 nt
Filed under: uncultured bacterium
Lineage: Bacteria
Description: bacterial SSU rRNA
Rfam family: Bacterial small subunit ribosomal RNA
Source: RNAcentral